UUGAAAAGGUAGGUUUUCCUUCUAUUAUUACAGGCUUUGUGGUUAACCAUAGAGGAAACCCACCAUUUCAG
Non-coding RNA from Myotis brandtii (Brandt's bat), 71 nucleotides. Lineage: Eukaryota; Metazoa; Chordata; Mammalia; Chiroptera; Vespertilionidae. The record is from Rfam.